RNAcentral lists this unclassified non-coding RNA (293 nucleotides) under Hevea brasiliensis (rubber tree). Lineage: Eukaryota; Viridiplantae; Streptophyta; Magnoliopsida; Malpighiales; Euphorbiaceae. The record is from RNAcentral.
AACUACAGCCAAAACUUGCAUUAAGGAGACAAAUGUGCAUCAGUGAACAAAAUGGACCAAAGAUAUUGGGGAAUAGCUCUGAUCCAAGAACAAUCUAAAGAAUCUGAUAAAACAUUUUUGCUACAUAAUCAGCUGCCUUGUUUGCUGAUCUGUUCACUAAAGAGAAACGAACUUCAUUAAAAAGAUCCAUGAGAUCUUUAAUUGCAAGCACUGAAGCUCUAAUUUCCCACGGUAUAGCAUAUGACUGAGCUUGGAUUGCUUGGAACAGCUCUGCAUUAUCAGUUUCAAGAACA